AUAAAUGUUCAUGUAUGGAGCUAGGGUAAAAAUACGAACAUGACACCUGUCAGUGCCUACUCAGGCUGUGAUUUCUGAACUUUCUGUUUUUAGAAGAGAUUGGUGUUCUCCAACUGGGGUCACUGGAACUUCUGUCUUCAUAGGAGACCUGACUUCCAUUUGCCUCUGAUGCUCAGGCACAGCCCUCGGACGUGGACAUCAUCAAACGUCCUCUUCGCCUUGGAAGGGGGCAAACAAAAUCCAUAUUUCAACUCCAUUUUCUCACUGGGAGGAGAGAGGGGCAGGUACCAGUAAGAUAAGACAGAAAAUGAAGAAAGGAGAUAAGAGAAAAAAAAAGAUGUCUGACUAAAUGAGGGUGCCAGUGCUCCUUGGAGUCAGAAAACGCUGAUUCCGGCUCUGGGAAGAAAGUGAUCCUGGACCAGCCUCUUGCUCCAGAAGGUGAGAAAGCCUCCUGUUCUUCCGGUCACGACAGAAGGAAUCAGAAGCCGACUAAAAAGUUUUUCCAGGGGCCACAUAGAGACAAUUUUAGCGUCAAACAAAUGAUAACUACAAUUGACGGCAACACGUUGGACCCAUUAGGUCAGACUGAUGCUGGGAAUAAAGGCAGAACAGAAACAUAAAGUUUUUUUUAAAAAAAUUUCACCCUUUUUAAAGAAUAAAUUAUUCUGAAAACUAGUGAAGGUAGCGCAUAAAACAAGCAUUUAUCUCAUUUUAUUUGUGGAAACUGUGCUUUGGGGGAACAAAUGAGUGUUGAAGGAAUGGUCUUUAUAGAUGAAAUCUGGGCAAUACAAGAGGAAAUCGGAACUAUUAGGUUGGUGGAAAAACCGUGAUUACUUUUGCACCAACCUGAUACAAUAUCCCAGUUGGGCAAUCUCGAAUGACGCAAGAUGAGCGUCAUCAUCAUCAUUGCUGCCAACCCAUCUGGUGAGGAGCUGGGAGAGAGCGUGGAAACACUGAGCCGGCGGCUCCAUCGUUACAACGCCGCAGGCAAACAAGGGGAAUUCUGGGAGAGAGCGUGGAAACACUGAGCCGGCGGCUCCAUCGUUACAACGCCGCAGGCAAACAAGGGGAAUUCUGGGAGAGAGCGUGGAAACACUGAGCCGCGGCUCCAUGGUUACAACGCCGCAGGCAAACAAGGGGAAUUCUGG
RNAcentral lists this long non-coding RNA (1148 nucleotides) under Homo sapiens (human). Its description in RNAcentral is "non-protein coding lnc-KLF6-12:1". Lineage: Eukaryota; Metazoa; Chordata; Mammalia; Primates; Hominidae. The record is from RNAcentral.